Non-coding RNA from Vicia faba (fava bean), 246 nucleotides. The record is from the annotation of a GenBank genome assembly. Lineage: Eukaryota; Viridiplantae; Streptophyta; Magnoliopsida; Fabales; Fabaceae.
AUGCUUACUGGAAGAUUUCAGUUGGUUAUGCUAUUAUGGAAUUAUUUUUCUGUUGUUUUUAUCGAUCCGAGAAGUUUACUUUCAAAUUGGAAGCCUACAAUUGAUAAGGAGAUAGGAGAGGAAGAUCCAUUAGUUGGUGCAGAACUCAUGAACACGAUUUCUGAUCUGUCCAAUCAAAGGAUUUGGUACUGCAGAAGUUUAAUCAUCUCAAGUCACCUUGAUGCCAUCAUUGAUCAGUUUGAUUGA